Molecule: ribosomal RNA, 500 nt
Filed under: uncultured bacterium
Lineage: Bacteria
Description: bacterial SSU rRNA
Rfam family: Bacterial small subunit ribosomal RNA
Source: RNAcentral
UUAAAUCCCUUGUAGUCCCAUGCCGUAAACAAUGUCUAAAAGCCGUUGGGCCUUUGAGGCUUUUAGGGGCGCAAGCUAACGCGAUAAAGUUAGCCCGGCUUGGGAAGUACGGUCGCAAGACCUAAAACUCAAAAUGAAUUGACGGGGGCCGCACAAGCGGUGGAGCAUGUGGUUUAAUUCGAUGCAACGCGAAAGACCCUUACCUGGUCUUGACAUAGUAAGAACUUUCCAGAGAUGGAUUGGUGCCUUCGGGAACUUACAUACAGGUGCUGCAUGGCUGUCGUCAGCUCGUGUCGUGAGAUGUUGGGUUAAGUCCCGCAACGAGCGCAACCCUUUUCCUUAUUUGCCAGCGGGUUAAGCCGGGAACUUUAAGGAUACUGCCAGUGACAAACUGGAGGAAGGCGGGGACGACGUCAAGUCAUCAUGGCCCUUACGACCAGGGCUACACACGUGCUACAAUGGUCGGUACAAAGGGUUGCUACCUAGCGAUAGGAUGCUAA